Molecule: ribosomal RNA, 120 nt
Filed under: Helianthus annuus (common sunflower)
Lineage: Eukaryota; Viridiplantae; Streptophyta; Magnoliopsida; Asterales; Asteraceae
Source: RNAcentral
GGUUGUGAUCAUACCAGCACUAAUGCACCGGAUCCCAUCAGAACUCCGCAGUUAAGCGUGCUUGGGCGAGAGUAGUACUCGGAUGGGUGACCCCCUGGGAAGUCCUCGUGUUGCAACCCC